Long non-coding RNA from Hemicordylus capensis (graceful crag lizard), 1338 nucleotides. RefSeq lists it as uncharacterized. NCBI's taxonomy places the organism in Eukaryota, Metazoa, Chordata, Lepidosauria, Squamata, Cordylidae. The transcript is spliced from 4 exons. The record is from RefSeq and is a predicted model, not a curated record.
UGUUACUGGUUGGAAGAUGUUCUUGAUUGUAAAGGAGAGGAAUUUAUAAAGAUAUAGAUAUACAAAGGAGAGUGGGCAGGGGUCUGCAAAGAGACGGGUCGUGAGGAAGGAAAGAGCCCUUUUAGGAGAAGGAGGCUGCCACUGUGUGAAUUAGAUGAGAUUCCUGAUGAGAUCAGCAACUUCUGACAUCCUUGAACACUGAGGAAUAUGGGACUAUACUUGCACAAUAUUUUUUUUAAGGGAUGGAUCUUACUUUUUUAUGACAAGCCAAAGCACAGCCAUGUCAGAAGGGAGGCCCAGCUUGUCCUAACCUUACAUAUCAGAUAUAACUUUAAAGGAAAUUAGAAAUCAACUUUAAUACCUGUUACACAGAAUCUGUUACAAAAAUCUUCCUUUUGAUGUACAUUUCAUGUUUAGGUGAGGAUGUACUUUUUCUUCUACUUCUGACUCCCAGAUCAGACAGAUCAGUGACUGGUGAAUGAAACUUAAAAUCCUUUCCCCCUUCCAAGUAUGUUUUCCAAAAACAGGUUGCCUAUCUGAAACUAAUGACCUGGUAGUGAUCUACUGCCAUUCAUAAGUAUUGGGUUCUGUGCCUAUUCAAGGACCUCAUGGAAAGAUUAGCUAGCUCCUCAUGGCGCCCUUUCUGCCCUACACGUGGUCUGUGCUUCUCCUGGAACUGGCAGACUGGGUGCCAUUUUCCUCAGUUCCUGGAUGACUGCCAUGAAACGACGAUCAGUAAUUGUGUUCCACUCCGAGUAACCAACUCUCCAGGCUGUCAGCUUGAGGGUCCAUGCGUCGAGAUAGAGAACCGCUCCCUGUCUCAACAAUGAGAUUUCUCUAUGUUGAGCUGCACACAGAGUUCCCACAGAAGGCCCAACACAUAACGGACUUGUAAAAGUAACUCUUCUCUGGUUGGUCCUGCCAGGAGCCAGUUGUUCAGUAUGGAAACACCACCAGACCCUGAGUCCGAAGAUGGGCAAUAAUCACUGCCAUACACUUUGUGAAGACUCUCGGGACCAUGGACAAUCCAAAGGGGAGCACUUUGUACUGGGAUAUCUGGUCUCCGACUGUGAACCUCAAGUACUCCCAGUAGUUUUUCUGGAUCCCUAUAUGGAAGUAUGCAACUUUUAAAUCUAGUGUUGCCAACCACUCCUCCCUGGUUAGGAGAAGUAGUAUGCUCUGCAACGUCAUCAUCAUGAAUUUGCAUACAUCUAUAAAGAGAUUCAUAUCUCUCAGAUCCAUAAUUGCCGUUAUUCAACCAUUCCUUUUCACAAUUUGGAAAUAAUGGGAAUAAAAGCCCUGCAUCCUCAGCACCCACUGCACCAGAACAAUAGCCCC